UCCUCAUUAUAUUAUAUGAGGUACGACCUGCUCAAUGCGAAUUUGUAAAUAGCCGCAGUAUUCUGACUGUGCAAAGGUAGCAUAAUAAAUUGGCCUUUAAUUGAGGUCUGGAAUGAAUGGUUUGACAAGGAUUUGACUGUCUUAAAGCAGAAUUUUUUGAAGUUAAAUUGUUUGUAAAAAUGCAGACAUGUAGGAGAGGGACGAGAAGACCCUAUAGAUCUUUAAAAAAGUUGAUUUAAAAUAUUUAUUUAAAGUAAUUUUUUUUUAUUUGGGGAAAAUCCUGAAAUUGAAUGUCUGAAGUAAACUUCGGUUAACUAAAUCAAAAAAAAAUCAAAUGAUUAUUAAUUUGAUCCACAUUAUGUGAAAAAAUGAAAAAGUUACCUUAGGGAUAACAGGACAAUGAUCUUUUAUAAGAGACCUUAUCUUAAAGGACGUUUGUUACCUCGAUGUUGAAUUAAGUUAUCUAAUUAAAGGAGAGAUUUUUAAAGUUGGUCUGUUCGACCAUUAAAAAC
RNAcentral lists this ribosomal RNA (512 nucleotides) under Coloceras sp. JDW-2010. RNAcentral's name for it is "partial 16S ribosomal RNA". It matches the Rfam family "Bacterial large subunit ribosomal RNA", at positions 1832 to 2595 of the family's 2925-position model. The record is from RNAcentral. Lineage: Eukaryota; Metazoa; Arthropoda; Insecta; Psocodea; Philopteridae.